GGCUCAGUCAGCAACGAUCGAUCGCGC
This 27-nucleotide non-coding RNA is filed under the name Bombyx mori (domestic silkworm). Lineage: Eukaryota; Metazoa; Arthropoda; Insecta; Lepidoptera; Bombycidae. The record is from RNAcentral.